RNAcentral lists this ribosomal RNA (2781 nucleotides) under Triticum aestivum (bread wheat). Its description in RNAcentral is "partial small subunit ribosomal RNA". The record is from RNAcentral. Lineage: Eukaryota; Viridiplantae; Streptophyta; Magnoliopsida; Poales; Poaceae.
AUGGAGGUCGCUGCUGGGGCGAUGGGCCCCGUCAUCCGUAAGCUCGGCGAGCUGCUCGUCGGAGAAUACAACCUAGAGAAGCGAGUAAAGAAAGGCGUACAAUCGCUCCUAGACGAGCUGGAGAUGAUGCACGCCGUACUUCGCAAGGUUGGCGAGGUGCCGUCGGAACAGCUCGAGGAGCCGGUCCGGAUUUGGGCUGGCAAGGUGAGAGACCUGUCUUGCGACAUGGAAGACGCUGUUGACGACUUCAUGGUGCGUGUGCAUGAGGGUUCAAGCAGCAAGCCUACGAACAUGAGGAAUCGAGUCAAGAAGUUUCUCAAGAAGACCACCAAACUGUUUGGCAAGGGCAAAGCACUUCAUCAAAUCAGUGAUGCCAUCAAAGAAGCUCAGGAUCUUGCCAAGGAGUUGGCGGACCUGCGUAGAAGGUACGAGCUUGACACUCGUAGCACUAGCAAUGGUGCUACCAUUGACCCUCGUGUGUUAGCUCUGCACAAAGAUGUAGGGGAGCUUGUUGGCGUUGACCGCACAAGGGAUGAGCUUAUCAAAACACUGAUUUGUGAGGAUGGGAGUUCCAAGGAGCAAUUGAAGACGAUCUCUAUUGUUGGUGUUGGUGGGCUGGGCAAGACUACACUCACCAAAGCAAUUUAUGAGAAGAUCAAAGCCCAGUUUGAAUGUGCGGCUUUUGUCCCUGUAGGACAGAACCCUGAUAUCAAGAAAGUUUUCAAGGACUUACUCUAUGACCUGAACAAAGAAAAGUUCAAUGACAUUCAUAAUACAUCAAAGGAUGAAAAUCUCCUCAUCAAGGAAAUCAGAGAAUUCCUUGUGGAUAAGAGGUACCUUAUCGUAAUUGAUGAUAUAUGGGAAGAAGAAAUUUGGAGAUUUAUAAAUUGUGCUUUGUGUAAAAACAAACUCCACAGUCGGGUAAUCACGACAACUCGUAAUGUGAGUGUGUCUGAAGCAUGUCUCUCUUCCAGCGAUGACAUGAUUCACCAAAUGAAACCUCUUUCUGAUGAAGACUCACAGAUACUCUUCCAUAGAAGAAUAUUUCAAAGCGAGGAGAAAUGUCCAGAAGAUUUGCAAGCAGUAUCAAGAGAGAUACUGAAGAAAUGUGGUGGAGUACCAUUAGCCAUCAUUACAAUAGCUAGCCUUCUAGUCAGUAACCAAAGGAUAAAGCAGAAAGAAGAAUGGAUGCAUGUGCACAGUUCGAUGGGCCGUGGAGUUACAGAAGGUGGUAUUGUGAAGGACAUGAAGAGGAUAUUAUCACUCAGCUAUUAUGAUUUGCCAUCCCAUCUAAAGCCUUGUUUAUUAUAUCUAAGCAUCUUUCCUGAAGACUUUGAGAUUAACAGAGAUUUGCUGAUAUGGAGGUGGCUUGCUGAAGGGUUUAUCCAAUGUGACAAAGAUGAAACCAGGCUGUUUGAGAUCGGAAAGAGCUACUUCAACGAGCUUAUGAACAGGAGCUUGAUCCAGCCAGCGGAAACCAAUUAUGAAGGAACAGUAGUAACUUGCCGUAUACAUGAUAUGGUGCUUGACCUUAUAUGCUCGCUGUCAAGUGAGGAGAAUUUUAUCUCCAUAUUGGAUAAUGCGGAGUGGAAUGCACCUAAUCCGCAAAGAAAAUUUCGCAGGUUAUCACUUCAUAAUAUCAAGGCAAAGGUUCAGAACCAUCAGAUUGAAAGCACUAGCCUGUCAAAAGUGAGGACCUUUGCUGUUUUUUCUCCUGUUACCUGUGAUUGGUUGCCAUCUCUCUCAAGCUUUCAAUUUUUGCGUGUGCUGGAUCUUGGAAGUUGUGUUAGCCAUGAAAGUAGCUCUGGCAUCAGCCUCAAGUAUGUAGGGAAUUUAAUUCACCUAAGGUACCUAGGGCUCAAGGAUGCAGAUGUUCGCGAACUCCCAAUGGACAUAGGCAAGCUGCAGCUUUUGCAGACACUGGAUAUAAGAGGCACUAGUAUAAAAGAAUUACCUUCAAGUGUUGUACAGCUCAUAAAUUUGAUAUGCCUAUAUGUCAAUUAUAGGGUGAGGCUGCCAAAAGGAAUGGGAAGCUUGAUGUCCCUUGAAGUGCUGGAAGAAGUAGGCUUAUCCUCAUCUCCUCACAUUGCGGAAGAGCUGAGCCAUCUGACAGAGGUUAGGACACUCAGUAUUGACUGUGCUAACAUGGACGAGGAUCUGAUUGAUAUAUUAAUCAAGUCUCUAGGCAACCUGCACAAAUUGCAAAAUCUGCGUAUUGAUGAUGGUGGCAGAUUGAUAAAUCGCAUGUGUGAAAGCUGGGUGCCCCCUCCAAACCUCCGUAGUUUUGAUUCAUGGAGCCUCUCUUCUUCUUCGUCGUUCUUGAGACUUCCAAAGUGGGUUAAUUCAAGUACGCUUCCCCACCUCUCCCGCCUGGAAAUAGAUGUGGAAGAACUGCAAGGGGAUGACAUUCAGAUCAUUGGGAUGCUGCCUGCUCUUCGGUUUCUGGAGCUGACUGCUGAUCGCGUGAUGGGAAGGUUGGCUGUGAGGGCCGAUGCAUUCCCAUCUGCGAGAAGCUGCAUUUUCAGAGGGUUUCCAAUGGCGUCGUGCCUUUUCCCACCUGGAGCUAUGCCAAGGGUUCAGCACCUUCAGUUCAGAGUCUCUGCACCGUCGAUCGCAAGAGGUGAGGUUGACUGCGGCCUGGGCCACCUCCCUUCUCUCGAGCACAUCAAGGUUGAUCUGCGGCGUGAUAAUUCCAGCCGUGAAGAGCUGGAGACAGCCGAGGCUUGGCUGAGGCGCGCAGCACAAGCCCAUCCAAAACGCCCCACCAUUGAAAUCAGAUAG